Molecule: long non-coding RNA, 2079 nt
Organism: Ficedula albicollis (Collared flycatcher)
Lineage: Eukaryota; Metazoa; Chordata; Aves; Passeriformes; Muscicapidae
Exons: 3
Source: RefSeq, a predicted model, not a curated record
UGUCCUGGACAGACCCAGGGAUUUGUAGCAAAGGCCUUUUUAGGAGCUUGUGAACUGAGCAUGGAGACAGACCCACCAGUGGCAAAAGCUGGAGGAGACAUCAGAGGGCUGACAGAGAUGUUGGCAAGGAGAAGCUGCAAGAGUGAAGCUGGACCAAGAGAGCCAGGAGUCACCCAUCAUCCAGCCCAGAGCUACAGCAACAGGAAAAGACAAGGCAAUCGAUCUUACUAACUCCCUUGGCGACGUGACCGAGGAACAUUAAGCACUGCAUCACAAGGCUGCUGUACUCUGAAAGCCUGAGGUUGAUCAAAAAAAGGAAACCUGAAGGAAGCUUACAGACCCAAGCCACCAAAUAUCCAAAUCCUGAAGGACUCAUCAGCUGUUAGGAGAUUUACUGUAAAACCACAAGGAUUUGCAGUGGUUAUUGACCAGCCAUAUGCUCAGCUCAGUGCAGUGCCCUUUUGCACUUCUGACCAAGCUGCCUAUCUGUCCACUUUAAAGCUCGCCCUGCUGGCAAGAGUUUACAUUAGCUCAGCUACAGCGAGGACAUCAGAUUCAUUCCCUAUUUGCCCUUUUCAGUAUUCACAAAUAAAAUUUGUCCAGUGUGAUAGAUGCGGUUGCUAGUGGUGUCUAAAAACCUCAUAACUGAGGAUGCAAUAAGGCAAGAUGGAAGCAAAUCUCCAAUCAACACCAUGAACUACUAUGUGCAGGAAAAGUAUCUUGGAGAUUCAUUCUGCAAACAGAACCCCUGGCUUUUCUUCAUCUUUUCCUUUGCUUAAAUGGGGAGGACAGAAGAGAUGCUCACCUGAAAACACUUAGAACAUAAAAUCUCCAUGCUUUGUAUUGGCAGUGAGAGCAAAAAGCUGUCAUGCAUCCUCUUCGUCUUCUCCUUGGAAGUGCAGCAUUGCAUCUCUGUGAUGCAGACCUGGAGCACAUGGUUUGGUCAGGCUGAGUGUGUAAGGGCUAAAGCACAGCAGCCAGUGGGCCCUCCAUCCUAUUUUUAGUCAUGCACUCUGUACCUGAAGCACCCUUGGCUGGCUGCUGGUGGUGAGUAAAGCCCAGAAAGCCAGUAACCUUUCUUAGGUCAUGCUCUCAUGGGUGAUGCAUGGGGUGAAGGGCGCUUUGCAGGCUCCUGCUGCUGCCCAAAAGCUUGUAAAGCCUCCAGAAGGAAAAGCAGGGCAAGGGGGAGGCUUUGUAGGAAGCUCAAAGCUCUAACAGAUCGUUUAUUUCUGCUUAAUUGCCAAGGAUGUGAAGCAAUUGUUGACGAGGGUGCGAGAGAAGGGAAGUGCCCUUUCCCACCUUCUCAACCUGCUCGUGGUUGCAUAAGCCUCAAAGCGCAGAGCCUGAGGUUGCUAUGCCAACUUGCACAGUUCCUCCCAUCCACCUCCCCAUCUGAACAAUGCCUGAAGGAGAGGAGUCCAUCCUGGAACAAAGCAAACGCUGGGACCGGCUGGCAGCAGAGGCUCUGCUCCAUCAGUGGAGCAGACUGAAGGACUCUGUGAGCUGUGUGUGCCCACAGCCCUGGUGCCACGGAUGAGAGGCUGCACCACAGCAACUGGUUUGCAGCACUUCUAUUUCAGUGUCCCGAGUGCUUUACCUUCGCUGCUGAAUUUGGUUUCGAGCCCUCGCUGACAGCACAGAGUCUGUGCUGUUACCCAUCAAAGGAAUCACAAGUUCAGCAUGAGUCUGUGCGCCUGCUUUCCCUUCUGUAGCAUUAAAAUAAAGUGCUUUUCAAAGGCACUGGGAAGGAGGAAUCGCUAUUUCCAGGUGCUUACAUAAACGGCCUUCAAGUGCAAAAUUGGAAAAACUUGAACUCCUUAGGCUCUUCACCUACCCCUUCUCUUAAGAAGGACACUAUAUGGACCUAGGUGGUAGGCUAAAAGGGUCAAAAUCUUGAAAGAGAACAAAAAAGCAGUGUGACUUAGGUCUAUGCUGCAUAGAAGAGGCUGGCAGAUGAAGCAGUUCCCUGGUUUUGCAUGUUAUCUUAAUUAGCAGUGAUUUCCAGAACAAAUUCUUAUGGUUAGCCCCUUUCCCAUCUUUCUUUGACCUCACACAUAAACCUCAAACUCUUUUCUCUAC